UUGAUGAACGCUAGCUACAGGCUUAACACAUGCAAGUCGAGGGUUAGCAUGGUCUUAGCUUGCUAAGGCCGAUGGCGACCGGCGCACGGGUGAGUAACACGUAUCCAACCUGCCGUCUACUCUUGGACAGCCUUCUGAAAGGAAGAUUAAUACAAGAUGGCAUCAUGAGUCCGCAUGUUCACAUGAUUAAAGGUAUUCCGGUAGACGAUGGGGAUGCGUUCCAUUAGAUAGUAGGCGGGGUAACGGCCCACCUAGUCUUCGAUGGAUAGGGGUUCUGAGAGGAAGGUCCCCCACAUUGGAACUGAGACACGGUCCAAACUCCUACGGGAGGCAGCAGUGAGGAAUAUUGGUCAAUGGGCGAGAGCCUGAACCAGCCAAGUAGCGUGAAGGAUGACUGCCCUAUGGGUUGUAAACUUCUUUUAUAAAGGAAUAAAGUCGGGUAUGGAUACCCGUUUGCAUGUACUUUAUGAAUAAGGAUCGGCUAACUCCGUGCCAGCAGCCGCGGUAAUACGGAGGAUCCGAGCGUUAUCCGGAUUUAUUGGGUUUAAAGGGAGCGUAGAUGGAUGUUUAAGUCAGUUGUGAAAGUUUGCGGCUCAACCGUAAAAUUGCAGUUGAUACUGGAUAUCUUGAGUGCAGUUGAGGCAGGCGGAAUUCGUGGUGUAGCGGUGAAAUGCUUAGAUAUCACGAAGAACUCCGAUUGCGAAGGCAGCCUGCUAAGCUGCAACUGACAUUGAGGCUCGAAAGUGUGGGUAUCAAACAGGAUUAGAUACCCUGGUAGUCCACACGGUAAACGAUGAAUACUCGCUGUUUGCGAUAUACAGCAAGCGGCCAAGCGAAAGCGUUAAGUAUUCCACCUGGGGAGUACGCCGGCAACGGUGAAACUCAAAGGAAUUGACGGGGGCCCGCACAAGCGGAGGAACAUGUGGUUUAAUUCGAUGAUACGCGAGGAACCUUACCCGGGCUUAAAUUGCAGAUGAAUUACGGUGAAAGCCGUAAGCCGCAAGGCAUCUGUGAAGGUGCUGCAUGGUUGUCGUCAGCUCGUGCCGUGAGGUGUCGGCUUAAGUGCCAUAACGAGCGCAACCCUUGUUGUCAGUUACUAACAGGUUCCGCUGAGGACUCUGACAAGACUGCCAUCGUAAGAUGUGAGGAAGGUGGGGAUGACGUCAAAUCAGCACGGCCCUUACGUCCCGGGCUACACACGUGUUACAAUGGGGGGUACAGAGGGCCGCUACCACGCGAGUGGAUGCCAAUCCCCAAAACCUCUCUCAGUUCGGACUGGAGUCUGCAACCCGACUCCACGAAGCUGGAUUCGCUAGUAAUCGCGCAUCAGCCACGGCGCGGUGAAUACGUUCCCGGGCCUUGUACACACCGCCCGUCAAGCCAUGGGAGCCGGGGGUACCUGAAGUGCGUAACCGCGAGGAGCGCCCUAGGGU
RNAcentral lists this ribosomal RNA (1433 nucleotides) under uncultured organism. Its description in RNAcentral is "SSU rRNA". It matches the Rfam family "Bacterial small subunit ribosomal RNA". The record is from RNAcentral.